Long non-coding RNA from Equus asinus (donkey), 1146 nucleotides. The record is from Ensembl. Lineage: Eukaryota; Metazoa; Chordata; Mammalia; Perissodactyla; Equidae.
GGAAAACAAAAGCCAACAAGCUGAGAGGGGUUCAACGGCAGAAUGAAAAGAGUUGGAGUUCUCACUAAGUCACUGAACUGCCACCUAUCUCAGUACUUCCUGUUAAGACAACAAUAAAUAUCCUGAUGAUUAAGUCAUUGCAGGACUGGCUUUUUGGUAUUCGCAGCUGCAAGCGUUCUUAACUGAUAUAUCCACAGAAGCUCAAAAUAGAGGCCAUUUGUCAGGAUCAACAAAUGGUUGAUGAAAAAUGAAUAAGAUCAUCCUUAUCCUCAAGAGAAUGAAGUCGUAAAAAUGGGUGAACUUUCUAGAAGUUAAGAUAGAAAGAAAUGCUCAAGUGUAAAUACUUUGUAUUGUAAAUAGCCAGGGAAAGAGAAAGAAGAACUAGUGAAGAAACCAACAAAAGAAUAUCAUGACGGAGGAGGGAACGAGAGCCAGUGAGGUGCAUCAGAACCACCUAAAGGGACUGUCAAAAAUGUGGAUCUGCUGGCUCCACUCCACACAGACUUGACCAGAAGCUCUGCCAGUGUGGCCCCAGGAAUCUGCAUUGCUAAGCUCACACAGGUGAUUCUUCUGCAUGUUCUAACGUCAUGAAAAACAAAGGAAGAGUUUCAAAGAAAAGGUGGGCAACAAUGAAAAAUUAUAUAAAAAUGUAAACACUAAAAAAUAUGAAAAAUGUAAGAUUCACCACAAAUGAGAGAAAAUCCUGCUGAUUUUCCUAUUUUUAAACUAAAAAGAUAUUGAAGUAAGCAUACCCCGUGGAUGGUGGAGCAGAAAGCUGUGAACCUGGAUCCUUGAUGGCUGUGUUCAGCAGCUGAAUCAACCAUAACAUCACCUGCCUCCGGACUUCCAAUGUUAAUGGAAAUUUGAGAACGUGUACAAUUGCUUUUUAUGAAGCACUGAAUAUUCUUCCACUCCUGCCUCCCUACAUGUGUCAGUUCUCCUUAGCAUUCUGCAAUGAUCAAAACGGACAUAUUCACAUAUGUAUAAAUGUCUAUUUGGGGAAAUGAUAUGGUUUUAAAAAUGUUGUUGCUGUUAUGUUAUGUCGCUGUUGGUAUGUCUUUAUUUUGUCCUGUUGCUAGACACAUGUUGACAAUUCUUGAGGGAAUAAAGAUUCUACUGUUUCCCUUUACAUUUAAUUACUUUGAG